Molecule: ribosomal RNA, 489 nt
Filed under: uncultured bacterium
Lineage: Bacteria
Description: bacterial SSU rRNA
Rfam family: Bacterial small subunit ribosomal RNA
Source: RNAcentral
GAUGAACGCUAGCGAUAGGCCUAACACAUGCAAGUCGAGGGGCAUCACAUGAAGUAGCAAUACGGAUGGUGGCGACCGGCGCACGGGUGAGUAACACGUAUGCAACCUGCCUUCAACAAGGGGAUAACCCGUUGAAAGACGGACUAAUACCCUAUAACACAGGGGUCCCGCAUGGGAAUAUUUGUUAAAGGACAACCGGUUGAAGAUGGGCAUGCGUUCCAUUAGCUAGUUGGCGGGGUAAGGCCCACCAAGGCAACGAUGGAUAGGGGAACUGAGAGGUUUAUCCCCCACACUGGUACUGAGACACGGACCAGACUCCUACGGGAGGCAGCAGUGAGGAAUAUUGGUCAAUGGACGCAAGUCUGAACCAGCCACGUCGCGUGAAGGAAGACGGCCCUACGGGUUGUAAACUUCUUUUAUACGGGAAUAAAGUGCCCCACGCGUGGGGUUUUGCAUGUACCGUAUGAAUAAGGAUCGGCUAACUCCGUG